This 81-nucleotide microRNA precursor is filed under the name Hordeum vulgare. RNAcentral's name for it is "miR6187 stem-loop (hvu-MIR6187)". Lineage: Eukaryota; Viridiplantae; Streptophyta; Magnoliopsida; Poales; Poaceae. The record is from miRBase by way of RNAcentral.
ACCGUCGGCAUGAACAGGUUCGGCGACCUCAACCCCAGCGAGGUCGUCGCGCAGUUCACAGGUUCCAACAACACCGGCUUC